GCCUGUGGCCAUGCCACCCUGAAUGUGCCCUAUCUCUUCUGAUCUGGGAAGCUAAGCAGGGUUGGGCCUGGUUAGUACUUGAAUGGGAGACCACCUAGGAAGACCAGGUGCUGUGGGUG
RNAcentral lists this ribosomal RNA (119 nucleotides) under Pteropus alecto (black flying fox). Lineage: Eukaryota; Metazoa; Chordata; Mammalia; Chiroptera; Pteropodidae. The record is from RNAcentral.